This 97-nucleotide microRNA precursor is filed under the name Phaseolus vulgaris (common bean). Lineage: Eukaryota; Viridiplantae; Streptophyta; Magnoliopsida; Fabales; Fabaceae. The record is from RNAcentral.
UUUAGGUGGGGAUGUUGGGACAAUUCAAUCAAAUCAAAUCUCCUAAUGACUGGGUCCUUUGCUUUGAUUGAGUCGUGCCAAUAUCAGUUCCUGCUAA